Molecule: ribosomal RNA, 544 nt
Filed under: uncultured bacterium
Lineage: Bacteria
Description: bacterial SSU rRNA
Rfam family: Bacterial small subunit ribosomal RNA
Source: RNAcentral
ACUCCUACGGGAGGCAGCAGUGGGGAAUAUUGGACAAUGGGGGAAACCCUGAUCCAGCAAUGCCGCGUGGGUGAAGACGGCCUGCGGGUUGUAAAGCCCUUUAGGCGGGGAGGAAAGGCAUUGUGCGAAUAGUGCGAUGUUUUGACGUUACCCGCAGAAUAAGCACCGGCUAACUCCGUGCCAGCAGCCGCGGUAAUACGGAGGGUGCGAGCGUUAAUCGGAAUUACUGGGCGUAAAGCGUGCGUAGGCGGUUUGGUCAGUCAGCCGUGAAAGCCCCGGGCUUAACCUGGGAACGGCGGUUGAGACGGCCAAACUAGAGUGGGCUAGAGGAUCGUGGAAUUCCGGGUGUAGCGGUGAAAUGCGUAGAGAUCCGGAGGAACACCGAUGGCGAAGGCAGCGGUCUGGGGGCCACACUGACGCUGAGGCACGAAAGCGUGGGGAGCAAACAGGAUUAGAUACCCUGGUAGUCCACGCGGUAAACGAUGAGCACUAGACGUCGGGCGGGUGACUGCUCGGUGUCGUAGCUAACGCGCUAAGUGCUCCG